This 352-nucleotide ribosomal RNA is filed under the name uncultured archaeon. RNAcentral describes it as "partial 16S ribosomal RNA". It matches the Rfam family "Archaeal small subunit ribosomal RNA", at positions 80 to 436 of the family's 1478-position model. The record is from RNAcentral.
UUUUUUUUUUUUAAAGACAGGGGGAUAACCUCCCCUUAGGAGGGGAACUCUGGGAAACUGGAGAUAAUACUGGAUAGAUGAUUUUUCCUGUAAUUGGUAUUUUGUUGAAAUGUUUUUUCGCCUAAGGAUGGGUCUGCGGCCGAUUAGGUAGUUGGUGAGGUAAUGGCUUACCAAGCCGUUUAUCGGUACGGGUUGUGAGAGCAAGAGCCCGGAGAUGGAACCUGAGACAAGGUUCCAGGCCCUACGGGGCGCAGCAAGGCGCGAAACCUCCCCAAUGUGAGCAAUCGCGACGGGGGGAUCCCAAGUGCCAUUCUUAACGGGGAUGGCUUUUCUUAACGUGUUACUGAGCAGU